Long non-coding RNA from Acanthochromis polyacanthus (spiny chromis), 919 nucleotides. RefSeq lists it as uncharacterized. NCBI's taxonomy places the organism in Eukaryota, Metazoa, Chordata, Actinopteri, Pomacentridae. The transcript is spliced from 3 exons. The record is from RefSeq and is a predicted model, not a curated record.
UGCAGCCUCGAUUUAACCCUAAACAUGAAGUUUUUUUUUAAUCUAUGUACUUUCCCCGCUGUGGGAUCAAUAAAAGGUUUAAUCUAUAAUCUAUAUCAACAUUGUGUUUCAGGCUGAGAUGUCUCUGAAGCGGCGGCUGCUCUCCAUGUUGUUGUGUUGUGUUUACUGCGUGGCUUCGCUCUUCUGCCUCCAUCCAAACACAAACAACUGCUUCUCAGUCGGAGCUCGGAACCUGGCGUCCGUGUUCCAGCAGAUUUACCAGCGUGUGAUUCGGCUGCUGCGGACGACGCUGUGAUUCCAGCUGACCUCCACCAUGGAAGAAGAAGAAGAACCAGAGGAGGAACCACAGGAGGACAGUGGACCGUGGAGUUUCCAUCCACACUGUAGAUGUUCUCUGACCAGAUGUAGACGAGGACAUCUAAAAAUAUCUAUUUUUCUACAGAUGAAUGCUGACUUUGUGGAUGUUUGCCGUGUGAGAUGUGACUGAGGUGGAACGUCCUCUUCUAACCUUCAUAUAUUCACUGUGAGAACCAAGAACUGAAACACCUUGACCAUAGUUGCGGUGCAGCAGAAUGUUGAAGACGUUCCUCCUGGUUCCUCCUGGAGGAUCCUCAGAUGUUCCUAGGUCAGAUGAGAUAUAAACUCCAGUUGAGGCGUUCUAAUCAGAACCACCUCCACAUGAAGCCAUUCUGCUCCGAUUUCUCGAUGAGCAGCAUCUAAAGCAGGGUUCUCAUGUAGAUAAGAAACAUUUGAGCUGUGGGAAGGAGAACGUUUGGUUCCAGAGAAGUUUUCCAGUCAGAGAGUUGAUCACUUUAUUUCAAACGGAAAGUUGAGGUGAAUGAAUGGAUUUUUAACCUUCUGUCUUAUUUGUUGGGGUGGACAAAUUUACCUUUUUGCACUUUUGUAUGAGAUGAUUGAA